AUAAAGUUUAAUUUUAGUUUAAUGAUUUAUUUAAUUUUUUUUUUACAUGUAAAUUUUAGUAUGAAUAUAAGAAUAAUUUAAAUAAUUAUUUUUAAAAAUUUUAUUCGCAGUAUGAAAUUUUAUUAAUUUAAGAGAUUAGGAAUUAUAAAUAAAUUUAAAUAUUAACAAAAUUUGUGCCAGCAGUUGCGGUUAUACAAAAAAUAUAAAUAAAUUUUAUUAGUAAAUAAUGAAAUGAUUUUAAUUUAAUAAAAAUAAAAUUUAUAAAGUGAAAUUUAAAAUUUUAAAUAAUUAUUAUUAAAGUUAUUGAUGUUAUGAAAUUUAUGAAUUAAACUAGGAUUAGAUACCCUAUUAUUAUAAAUGUAAAUUUUUACUAAAGUAGUAUUAGUUAUGAUCUUGAAAUUUAAAAAUUUUGGCGGUAUUUUAGUCUAUUCAGAGGAACCUGUUCUAUAAUUGAUAGUCCACGAUAAAAUAUACUUUAAUUAUUAGUUUAUAUAUCGUCGUUAUUAAAUAUUUUAUAAGAAUUAAAAUAUUUAAGAUUUUUUAUUAAAAAAUAUAUCAGAUCAUGGUGUAGUUUAUAUUAAAGAAGAAAUGGGUUACAAUAAAUUUAUUUAUGGAUUUUUAUAUAAAAAUAUAAAAUGAAAUUGGAUUUGAUAGUAAUAAAUUUUAUAUUAGAUUUAUGAUUUUAGCUCUAAAAUGUGUACAUAUCGCCCGUCACUCUUAUUAUAAGAUAAGAUAAGUCGUAACAUAGUAGAUGUACUGGAAAGUGUAUCUAGAAUGU
This 778-nucleotide non-coding RNA is filed under the name Hydroporus kasyi. Lineage: Eukaryota; Metazoa; Arthropoda; Insecta; Coleoptera; Dytiscidae. The record is from RNAcentral.